Molecule: long non-coding RNA, 276 nt
Filed under: Lathyrus oleraceus (garden pea)
Lineage: Eukaryota; Viridiplantae; Streptophyta; Magnoliopsida; Fabales; Fabaceae
Description: Pisum sativum (pea) long non-coding RNA (PSAT_LNC002871)
Source: RNAcentral
UGCCUUAUUCCUGGACCUGUUUGUGUUAGACAUGUCUGUUUUGUCAGCAUUCAUCAAACAUAAACCACGCAUAUACAUGCAUACUUAUAACAUUCAGAUAUUCAUGUUGCAUAUAUUGCCAUAUAUCUUUUGAUUGUUGUCUCCUGCUAAUUGGUGAUAUAGAUCUCUUUAGUAGAUCUCCCUAAGCAGAUGUGGGUGUGUCUGAUCCUUCCAUGUAGAGUCAGCCCCUUAAGCAGAAAGUGUCUAUCUUUCAUGCCAUUUCCCCACUGAGUUAUA